RNAcentral lists this ribosomal RNA (483 nucleotides) under Candidatus Omnitrophota bacterium. Its description in RNAcentral is "bacterial SSU rRNA". It matches the Rfam family "Bacterial small subunit ribosomal RNA", at positions 1050 to 1533 of the family's 1533-position model. Lineage: Bacteria; Pseudomonadati; Candidatus Omnitrophota. The record is from RNAcentral.
UGUCGUCAGCUCGUGUCGUGAGAUGUUGGGUUAAGUCCCGCAACGAGCGCAACCAUUGCCCUAUGUUGCCACUCUGGUCCUAGCAAUAGGUAUCGGAAGCACUCUUAGGGGACUGCCUGGGACAACCAGGAGGAAGGUGGAGAUGACGUCAAGUCAGUACGGCCUUUAUGCCCAGGGCGACACACGUGUUACAAUGGAUAUUACAAAGGGUUGCCAACCCGCGAGGGGGAGCUAAUCUCAAAAAAGUAUCCUCAGUUCGGAUUGGAGUCUGCAAUUCGACUCCAUGAAGCCGGAAUCGCUAGUAAUGGUGGAUCAGCACGCCACCGUGAAUACGUUCCCGGGCCUUGUACACACCGCCCGUCAAGCGAUGGGAGCCGGGAGUACCCGAAGUCCUACGUAGGUAGGCCCAAGGUAAAACUGGUGACUGGCGCUAAGUCGUAACAAGGUAGCCGUACGGGAACGUGCGGCUGGAUCACCUCCUUU